CCUGUCAUUAAUCUUUUCAUUCUGUAUUAACUAAUUCCUUUCUCAGGUGAUUUCUCUUUCCUAAUGACUUGUUGCUGUCUGUCUCCCAGACAUCUGUAGCUCCUCUUGGCUGACUCUUUGCUCUGGACUCAGAUAUCUACUCAGUUGUGGGAAGACAGAAAGGGCCCCCCUUGUUUAUCACCACAACCAGCCAUCUGCCCUGGCCUUUCCCUGUGACUCCCCAGGCAGCCUUGGCAGAGAUGAAACCAAAGAGACCAUUUAAGCAUGAGAUCACACGCUCUGGUAAACCUAGUAUAGAGUCUGACCUCCAUCUGGUGCCUAAAGAUGAAGCUGGGAGGCCAGAGGGGGUUCUGGGUCUGUUUUGCAUGGGGAGGUCUCAGCCCCUGCACAAGGAUGUCCUGACAUAUAAAUAUGUCUCUAUCCCCAUCUGCCUCAUUCUGGGCUCAGAGCUCUCUGCCUGCAGCUCUACAGAGGACACAAUGAUGUCCCCAUCCCAGCUCCUCUGCCUCCUGGUGCUCUGGGCUCAGGAGUCCAGGACAGCCAUUGUGAUGACCCAGACUCCAGCCUCCCUGUCUGUGGCUCUGGGAGGGAGUCACCAUCAGCUGCAGGGUCAGUCAGGGUAAUGGCAGUGCAUUAGCCUGGUACCAGCAGCCUCUAGGAAAACCUCCAAACUUCUUAUCUCAGGUGCUAAAUAUCUAGCAUCUGGGGUCCCUGCCUGCUUCAGUCACAAUGAGUCUGGGGCAGAUUUUACUCUCACAAUCAGCAGUGUGGAGGCUGAGGAUGAUGCACAUUACUACUGUCAGCAAGGUUAUGAUUCUCCCACAGUGAUGGUACCCUGGACAAAAACCUCCCCAGGCUGAGUAGCCCUUCAGCUCAGGGCAGCAGCAAUGUUUCAUUGACUAUCUCUUUAGGCUCCACAUCUGUUGUUAAGUUCUAAGGAAACACAUAUGUAGAAAAUUGGUUGUGUGCCAGAAAAGCAUGUACUCACUGAACCUAUAAAAUAAGCCAACUUCAUGCCAUAGCAUGACACUAUGUGAUGCCUACACAAGUGGGACAGAACACAUAGGGCUUCUCACUCCAUUAUUCGAUUGAAAUACUCACACCUUGACAGAGGAACCCGGACCCUCAGAGAGACUACUGAAUGGAUCUCUAAAGGGUUGAAUGCACUUGUUUUGUAUGUAUACUCUUAUGCUGAAGGGGACUGCCCCCUAACUGGCUUUUAAUCAAUGCACCUAGCAGGCACUGGUUUGGUUCUCUUUUCCUCUCAUUCUCAAUUUAUUGUAAAUUCAAAGUUGGAAUGUUACAAGACCCAUUGGAGAGAGAGAGAGUCUUUCUUGGCUCAUACAGGAGAAUAUAUACUUGAAAAUCUGUUACCCUAAAAAAGAACUACAUAUCUCAAGAGCCCACUGGCUUCCUGUCAUUACAUAUUUUGUGAAAACAGAGGAUAAAGUGAGUGGAAAUGGAGGCUAUGACUCUUUUUUUGGCGUGCAGUCAGCAGUGAUGGUGGUGAGAAGGGAUUUUGAAAAUGGCUAACCAGGCAUGGACAUGUGGUUUUUAUUUUGUAUCCUCUUUACUCCUUGAUUUCUAAUGAUCAUAUUAUAAACCUCCUAAAAUAUAAUAUAUUUAAUAUAAAGAUGUGCAUUUACAGAGAAUGACCAAAAUAUGACAGAGAAACAUCGUAUGAGCACAAGCUGUUGGGAAAAUGGUGCCAAUAAACUUCCUCAAAAAGACUGACA
This 1736-nucleotide long non-coding RNA is filed under the name Monodelphis domestica (gray short-tailed opossum). RNAcentral describes it as "lncRNA (ENSMODG00000049617.1)". Lineage: Eukaryota; Metazoa; Chordata; Mammalia; Didelphimorphia; Didelphidae. The record is from RNAcentral.